RNAcentral lists this ribosomal RNA (181 nucleotides) under Aloe viguieri. Its description in RNAcentral is "5.8S ribosomal RNA". The stretch from base 1 to 117 matches the Rfam family "5.8S ribosomal RNA", at positions 40 to 154 of the family's 154-position model. From Rfam's summary of the family: 5.8S ribosomal RNA (5.8S rRNA) is a component of the large subunit of the eukaryotic ribosome. It is transcribed by RNA polymerase I as part of the 45S precursor that also contains 18S and 28S rRNA. Lineage: Eukaryota; Viridiplantae; Streptophyta; Magnoliopsida; Asparagales; Asphodelaceae. The record is from RNAcentral.
AGAACGUAGCGAAAUGCGAUACUUGGUGUGAAUUGCAGAAUCCCGCGAACCAUCGAGUUUUUGAACGCAAGUUGCGCCCGAGGCCACCCGGCCGAGGGCACGCCUGCCUGGGCGUCACGCCUCACGUCGCUCCGCCUACCUCGCCCUGAGCACCCCGUGCUCUUACGGCGGCGGGCGGCGG